CACGUUCAGUGGUCGGCUUCUGAGGGCCUCAAGCUAAGAUACCUUAUCUUGGGCUCAGAAGGUCUCUGCAGUUCAGUGAAGGAGUCAGCAAGACAAGCAAUGGAAUGAGCUACUUACGACAAUGCAGAGUGGGGUCUCUGUAACUAUAAGAAACAAAGCCGGCCAUCAUCUUGCAGAUGAGGGCCAGUUGAGGGUCUGGUCCUCAGGGCCACUGGGGCUUGAACAAAGUCUCUGGCCCCUUGAGCCUUCCAGUUACCAGUUGUUUCAUCUGUGUAAGUGUUUGUCAAGGGCCCUGCUUAGCCAUGGCUUUGUUGGAAACACUGAGGAAAACUUCCCCACGGCAUUGGUUUUCCUCUGUGGUAAGGUCCAUGUGGUGAGGGUCUCUCCAUGGUCUUCCUGAAAAAGAUGGCAGAUAGCUCAUCAGGACUAACCUGCGACCUAACUGACUUUGGGAGCCCAAAGUGGAAAUCUACCGAGAGCCCACAGACAGCUGAAUGGAUAAAUGAAAUGCGAACCACGGGUUAAUUCCAUCGAGAUAUUAAUUCAGCUUGGAAAAAGGGGGAGAAUCUGAAACACUUACAUGGAUGAACUGCAAGGCUAUCAGGCUAUGUGAAACAAGCUCUUCCAAAGAGACUGUCCCUGCCCAUCCUCUGCUGGAUUACGGGACUGUCAUCUCCUGGAGACACCAUAGCCUGAGGCCUCUGGCCUCCUUUUUGUUCCCUGGGGACCACAGCCAUGGCACCAGCUGCAGUUAUCCUGAGUUUACCUCUGCUGAUCUGUACCAGAAACUUUAAGGAAGACGGUGUGCAGAGCGGCAAAGGAAGAACAUACAAGGCCAGGUUGCAGAAAUGAACCCCAUAGACAAUGCACUGCUCUCCUUGAAAAAGGGUCUUGAUGGGAAAACAAAUGCACAGAUAAGAUAUUCUCAAGUAUUGAUAAGAAUGGGGAGCCAAGAAACAACACAAGAUUGGGAAGGUAGACUGCUAUAAACUGGGCAUCAGGGAAAGUAUAUCUGGAUAGUUGACACACCUGGCCCUGGAACAAGGAGGAGCCAGCUAGGCAAAGAUCUAGAGGGCCUGUGCAAAGCAUCAGCAAGUGCAAAGGUCCUGAGGCUGGAGUCCAUAUGCCUUCUGGGGCUUUUGACCAACACAAUCUGAAUCACCAGGGUUGUUUCCUUAAGGAAACCACUUUCAGUCCUUUGUGAACUUCCUCACUGCCUCCUAAUCCUCCUCAUCCAAGUUAAUUUCUAAUCACUACGAAUUCUUUCUUUUAGGAAAUUCUUCCAAAAACUUUAGGAAGUUCUAGUAAUCCAUGGGUUAUGAAAAACUGGCCUGUGAUUCAGUAACAAAAACAAAG
RNAcentral lists this long non-coding RNA (1356 nucleotides) under Cricetulus griseus (Chinese hamster). RNAcentral's name for it is "lncRNA (ENSCGRG00015024811.2)". Lineage: Eukaryota; Metazoa; Chordata; Mammalia; Rodentia; Cricetidae. The record is from RNAcentral.